CCUACGGGAGGCAGCAGUGAGGAAUAUUGGUCAAUGGGCGAGAGCCUGAACCAGCCAAGUCGCGUGAGGGAGUACUGCCCUAUGGGUUGUAAACCUCUUUUGUCGGGGAGCAAAAGCCGGACGUGUCCGGCUGUGAGAGUACCCGAAGAAAAAGCAUCGGCUAACUCCGUGCCAGCAGCCGCGGUAAUACGGAGGAUGCGAGCGUUAUCCGGAUUUAUUGGGGUUAAAGGGUGCGCAGGCGGAUUUUUAAGUCAGCGGUCAAAUCGUGGGGCUCAACCCCAUCCAGCCGUUGAAACUGGGGAUCUAGAGUGUGCGAGAGGUAUGCGGAAUGCGUGGUGUAGCGGUGAAAUGCAUAGAUAUCACGCAGAACCCCGAUUGCGAAGGCAGCAUACCGGUGCACAACUGACGCUUAGGCACGAAAGCGUGGGUAUCGAACAGGAUUAGAUACCCCAGUAGUC
Molecule: ribosomal RNA, 458 nt
Filed under: uncultured bacterium
Lineage: Bacteria
Description: partial 16S ribosomal RNA
Rfam family: Bacterial small subunit ribosomal RNA
Source: RNAcentral